GGGGUAUAUUGCACAAUGGGCGCAAGCCUGAUGCAGCCAUGCCGCGUGUAGUGAAGAAGGCCUUAGGGUUGUAAAGCAUCUUUCAGCGAGGAGGAAGGUGGCUGAGCUCUAAUACAUCUAAUCACUUGACUGUCUAUCUCGCGACAAGAAGCAGCCGGCUAUACUCCGUGCCAGCAGCCG
This 180-nucleotide ribosomal RNA is filed under the name uncultured bacterium. RNAcentral describes it as "partial 16S ribosomal RNA". It matches the Rfam family "Bacterial small subunit ribosomal RNA", at positions 356 to 517 of the family's 1533-position model. The record is from RNAcentral.